AGGUGCAAUCUGAUCCAGUAUGAA
RNAcentral lists this non-coding RNA (24 nucleotides) under Arabidopsis thaliana (thale cress). The record is from RNAcentral. Lineage: Eukaryota; Viridiplantae; Streptophyta; Magnoliopsida; Brassicales; Brassicaceae.